Vicugna pacos (alpaca) is the source of this 960-nucleotide long non-coding RNA. RefSeq lists it as uncharacterized. The record is from RefSeq and is a predicted model, not a curated record. Lineage: Eukaryota; Metazoa; Chordata; Mammalia; Artiodactyla; Camelidae.
ACGGGAUUCCAUGCUUGUGCAUGCAGUGGCCAGCCCUUGAUUAAUCAGCAGUUUCAAAGGCUAUUAAUGACCAACAGGACUGCACCUAAGGCCUAUGUUCAAAGGAUUUAGUGGACUUUGUACUCUGUUUGAUGGAUAGCCCUCCCAAGCUUGAGAGAAGAAAAGCAGAGCUCUUUUUAUAAUUCAUGGUGGUAAGUCAGCAGGGGGAGCAGUAAACUUGAAGUGACAUCCUGUAGGAAGAGAAAGGCCAUCCACUCAGCACAGUGGUUUAUAACACAAGUUAUAGGCCGCUGACUUUCACAUGACCAAAGGUCAGGAGAUGUUCUGAGGAGGAUCCCUUGAGCCUGGUGAUUAGCCUCUAAAAAGGGGACCUGCUGUUCAAGGGUCAAGCCUUCAGUACAUUGCUCAGGCCCUGGGAACACUAACAGUGGACCUCCUGGCUUGGUAAGUACCAGAUUGUUCUAAUAUGUGGCUUCCAGAGAAGAAUCAUUUAGCCAGACAGAAGACUUGAAAGUGAAAUGAGAUCUCUGGCUAGAGCUCAUUCCAGUAUCACUGUUACUGCAUGAGGCUAAGGUUAAUUUUGAGAUUCCCUCUCAUUAACUGUGUCCUCUGCUAUCCUCAGAGGACAUUUUGUUUAAAGUUGUGUUCACACAUUGUUUUAUUCUCUCUCUGCAACUGAAUCGUGAGAUCCCUAAGGAUACUGCUGCCUGGUAUGGCUUUGUACACCCCUCCCCAGUGUCCUCCAGAGUGGCUGGGACCCAGGGAAUGAUGACUCCUAGAUUAGGACUUUCUUUCAGAAAGUAGGAGGGUGGAAGGAUAACCCUUUCCCUGGUAAUGGCCACUUUUCAACCAGGAUUGUUUUCACUUGUUGACUGCUUAUUUCUUUUCAUGAUAUUUUAAGACUAAAUUUGCUGUAAAUGAUAAAAGUAAUAUAACUACCCUAUAGCAAACUUGGAAAAU